RNAcentral lists this long non-coding RNA (956 nucleotides) under Nicotiana tabacum (common tobacco). RNAcentral's name for it is "long non-coding RNA (NTAB_LNC007056)". Lineage: Eukaryota; Viridiplantae; Streptophyta; Magnoliopsida; Solanales; Solanaceae. The record is from RNAcentral.
AUUAUUUUUCUCUUUCUAUCCCAAUCUCAUUGUAGAAAUUCUCGUCAGAAACAAGGUUCGUCCUUUUGUGUUAGUAAACAAGAAUAGAUUUUGAUUGUACCCUCGCUAAUCUUAUUAUUAAAAAAAAUCAAUUCUUUGGCAAGCUUCAUUUUGCAAAAAGAUUGGAUCUUUGUCAAGCUUCUUCUGCAAAAAAGAUCAGAUUUUUGGCAAGCUUCAUUUUGCAAAAAGAUCGGAUCUUUGACCUGCAAAAAGAUUAGAUCUUUGGGGUUUUGGCUUGAUUAGCAUAUCAGGUGCUUUAAUUGAUUCUUUUACUGUAAGAUCCGUUUCAGAAAAGUGGAAACAAAUUGAGGUUGGGUUCUGAUUUGAUUAAUUUUGUUGGACGUGGGUAGGUUUACAUAGAGGAACAUUGGGAUAAUUUGGAAUUACAUGUAAUUUUCACUUUGAUUGCUGAAUUUAAUAACAUGAGCUUAUUUCAAGUUGAGAUAAUUUGGGAAAUGUUAUUUUUCUCUACAAUGUAAGCCAGCAUGUUCUUAUUUCUUUCUUUCUUUCUUUUCUUCAUUGAUUUUUUUUUUUGUUCGACGAAGCUAAACCCCAUAAUGUAUUGUUGCUUGCAGAGAAAAUGAAAUGUGAGCUUCAAUUUGCUUGGAUUGCAUAUGUUGGAGGAUUAAUCUAAAUGCUAUUAAGAUGUAAGAAAACUACCAUAGUGGGUUGGCCAUGCUGCUUCAUGGAUAAAAGAUUUAUAAGGUUCAUUAUUGGUAAUAGAAGAUUUCUGAAGAUGAUGUUCUGAACCAAUAUCUUCUCUAAGCAGGUAUACUCUAGAUACUUGUUGUUUAGUCAUCUCAAGUUGGAUGUAAAACUGUUUUAACUUGCUACCGCUUUGUUUGGUAAAUCUGAUAAGCUUGUGCAUUUGUUUAAUUUGACAAACACAGUGAGACUUCUAAUGAAAUAACAUUCGC